RNAcentral lists this ribosomal RNA (449 nucleotides) under uncultured bacterium. RNAcentral's name for it is "partial 16S ribosomal RNA". It matches the Rfam family "Bacterial small subunit ribosomal RNA", at positions 29 to 523 of the family's 1533-position model. The record is from RNAcentral.
AGCGAACGCUGGCGGCAGGCCUAACACAUGCAAGUCGAACGAAGUCUUCGGACUUAGUGGCGGACGGGUGAGUAACGCGUGGGAACGCGCCUUUAGGUUCGGAAUAACUCAGGGAAACUUGUGCUAAUACCGAAUGUGCCCUUCGGGGGAAAGAUUUCGCGCCUUUAGAGCGGCCCGCGUCUGAUUAGCGAGUUGGGGAGGUAAAGGCUCACCAAGGCGACGAUCAGUAGCUGGUCUGAGAGGAUGAUCAGCCACAUUGGGACUGAGACACGGCCCAAACUCCUACGGGAGGCAGCAGUGGGGAAUAUUGCGCAAUGGGCGAAAGCCUGACGCAGCCAUGCCGCGUGAGUGAUGAAGGUCUUAGGAUUGUAAAAUUCUUUCACCGGGGACGAUAAUGACGGUACCCGGAGAAGAAGCCCCGGCUAACUUCGUGCCAGCAGCCGCGGUAA